GAUGAACGCUGGCGGCGUGCCUAAUACAUGCAAGUCGAGCGAACGGACGAGAAGCUUGCUUCUCUGAUGUUAGCGGCGGACGGGUGAGUAACACGUGGAUAACCUACCUAUAAGACUGGGAUAACUUCGGGAAACCGGAGCUAAUACCGGAUAAUAUUUUGAACCGCAUGGUUCAAAAGUGAAAGACGGUCUUGCUGUCACUUAUAGAUGGAUCCGCGCUGCAUUAGCUAGUUGGUAAGGUAACGGCUUACCAAGGCAACGAUGCAUAGCCGACCUGAGAGGGUGAUCGGCCACACUGGAACUGAGACACGGUCCAGACUCCUACGGGAGGCAGCAGUAGGGAAUCUUCCGCAAUGGGCGAAAGCCUGACGGAGCAACGCCGCGUGAGUGAUGAAGGUCUUCGGAUCGUAAAACUCUGUUAUUAGGGAAGAACAUAUGUGUAAGUAACUGUGCACAUCUUGACGGUACCUAAUCAGAAAGCCACGGCUAACUACGUGCCAGCAGCCGCGGUAAUACGUAGGUGGCAAGCGUUAUCCUGAAUUAUUGGGCGUAAAGCGCGCGUAGGCGGUUUUUCAAGUCUGAUGUGAAAGCCCACGGCUCAACCGUGGAGGGUCAUUGGAAACUGGAAAACUUGAGUGCAGAAGAGGAAAGUGGAAUUCCAUGUGUAGCGGUGAAAUGCGCAGAGAUAUGGAGGAACACCAGUGGCGAAGGCGACUUUCUGGUCUGUAACUGACGCUGAUGUGCGAAAGCGUGGGGAUCAAACAGGAUUAGAUACCCUGGUAGUCCACGCCGUAAACGAUGAGUGCUAAGUGUUAGGGGGUUUCCGCCCCUUAGUGCUGCAGCUAACGCAUUAAGCACUCCGCCUGGGGAGUACGACCGCAAGGUUGAAACUCAAAGGAAUUGACGGGGACCCGCACAAGCGGUGGAGCAUGUGGUUUAAUUCGAAGCAACGCGAAGAACCUUACCAAAUCUUGACAUCCUUUGACAACUCUAGAGAUAGAGCCUUCCCCUUCGGGGGGCAAAGUGACAGGUGGUGCAUGGUUGUCGUCAGCUCGUGUCGUGAGAUGUUGGGUUAAGUCCCGCAACGAGCGCAACCCUUAAGCUUAGUUGCCAUCAUUAAGUUGGGCACUCUAAGUUGACUGCCGGUGACAAACCGGAGGAAGGUGGGGAUGACGUCAAAUCAUCAUGCCCCUUAUGAUUUGGGCUACACACGUGCUACAAUGGACAAUACAAAGGGCAGCGAAACCGCGAGGUCAAGCAAAUCCCAUAAAGUUGUUCUCAGUUCGGAUUGUAGUCUGCAACUCGACUACAUGAAGCUGGAAUCGCUAGUAAUCGUAGAUCAGCAUGCUACGGUGAAUACGUUCCCGGGUCU
RNAcentral lists this ribosomal RNA (1372 nucleotides) under uncultured bacterium. RNAcentral describes it as "bacterial SSU rRNA". It matches the Rfam family "Bacterial small subunit ribosomal RNA", at positions 28 to 1381 of the family's 1533-position model. The record is from RNAcentral.